This 226-nucleotide long non-coding RNA is filed under the name Gossypium barbadense (sea-island cotton). Its description in RNAcentral is "long non-coding RNA (GBAR_LNC021039)". Lineage: Eukaryota; Viridiplantae; Streptophyta; Magnoliopsida; Malvales; Malvaceae. The record is from RNAcentral.
UUCAAUUGGGCAGAAUCGCAAUCUCCUUUAGGGUUUCAAGAACCCUUAUUAACACUUAUUUCUAUUCUCAAUUUGAUUCUUUGCUGUUUUGGGGAUUUUAUUUCAAAUCUGAAAAUUCAAAGUUCUAAUCUUUUAAUUUUCUGUUUCGUUUCAGAUCUGAUUGUUUAGGGUUUUCGUAGGAGUUUCCCGUGACUUGGCAACUCGAUCUUGGUCCACGCGCAUUCCU